CGUCGCCGCCCGGCAACGCCUCUUCGAUUGGCACCCGGGUUCGGAGCCAGGAUGAGCGCUGCCGUCGCCGGGGUGCUGGAGCACAGAAGGAAGCAAAGAAGACCAAGAUUCCUGGCCCAUUGCCACUGUCCUGCUUCAAGGUCGAUAAUAAAGGAGGCCACGGGUUGGGGAUUUAGCUCAGUGGUGCCACACCUGCCUGGCAAGUGCAAGGUCCUGAGUUCGAUCCCCGGUACCAGGAAAGCAAGCAAGCAAGCAAGCAAGCUACUGCUUCUGGAGAAGAAAGAAAAAAAAUUGCCAAGAAGUGGUGAAAGUACCAAGAUGACAUGAAAUCUAUGAAAAAGCUGCUGCCACCUGGUGGACAGAGCUGAUUGAACUCCUGGGCUCAAGUGAUCCUCCUGCCUCAGCCUCCAGAGUACCUGGGACUACAGUUCCUGCCACUGGCUCAGCUUGGAUUUUUUAUUUUAGCCCCAGUGGUACCCCGGGGAGGAAGUUAGGGGCUUAGUCCCCUCAAGGGCCUCCUCCGAAUCUGCCCUUGCUGCUGCCUCAUCCAAAAUCCAGCAAAGUCUCACCUUGGGGUGGCAGGGCCCUAACUACAUCACCCUCCCCAAGCUCACCAGGAACUCAAAGACCCUAUCUGGAGAUUAAAGCCAUUGCCACAUGCCACAUGUGACUCUCAUCGCUCCAGGAGAGGGGCGGUAUCCAGUGAGCACUGAGGCUCCAAGAGAUGGGAACGGUGAUGCCCCCGGACGUCCUGCCUGGCUUCCCUCUGUGCCACCCUCUCCCAGCUAGGCGCUUCCACACGAGGACGAGGGGACCCUCACCUGCAUCUUCUGAGAGCGGUGUCAGCAGUGGAGGCCCGAUCUCCUGCUCCACUUCCUCCAGGACCUGGUCGGCCUUCUCUUCCUCCUCCCUCAGUUCCUCCUCCUCCUCCUCCGUCUUCUGCAAAGGGUUCACCCAAGUGCAGCGGCCCUGGAGUGGGAGCAUGGUCAGGUGGUAGCCCCAGGGGACAGAGCUGGCCUGAACUGGGGAGGACACUGGGGCACCUCCCUGUCUGCGGCCCUCUUCAUUCCUUCACUGGUUCUCACUCACAUCUGUAAUGAGCACUUCCCAGAGGCGGGUGCUAGGGAUGAACCCUUGAGAAAGGGGACCUCAGAGUCUGCCCUGUGCACCACACUUGGGAGCCACGGCCUCCAUUUGCCCAUCUGUGCAGUGGGUGUCACAGAUACCUCUCAAGUUGGAUCGUUGCUGGGUUCAGGAGCCUCUCCAGACCCAAGGAAUGCUUCUUUUUGAUUUUUUGUUUGGGUUUUGCUCCAUGUGCGUGUGUGUGUGUGUGUGUGUGUGGUGCUGGGGCGGAACCCAGGACUUCGGGAAUGAACAUGUGAACAAGUGCACGGCACAGAGCAGACUUCCGCUCCCUCUGCUAUGAAAUGGGAAUGGUAGUCAUACUGAUCUCUAAAGGAGUUAAAUGGAUUCAAUAAAACAUUGUAAAGUCA
Heterocephalus glaber (naked mole-rat) is the source of this 1493-nucleotide long non-coding RNA. RefSeq lists it as uncharacterized. NCBI's taxonomy places the organism in Eukaryota, Metazoa, Chordata, Mammalia, Rodentia, Bathyergidae. The record is from RefSeq and is a predicted model, not a curated record.